Non-coding RNA from Parasteatoda tepidariorum (common house spider), 78 nucleotides. NCBI's taxonomy places the organism in Eukaryota, Metazoa, Arthropoda, Arachnida, Araneae, Theridiidae. The record is from the annotation of a RefSeq genome assembly.
GGAAUUGAGCUCAGUCGGUAGAGCGCGAGAUUCUUAAUCUCGGGGUCGUGGGUUCAAUCCCCACGUUGGGUGGUUCCU